GUGUCAGCAGCCGCGGUAAUACAGAGGUCUCAAGCGUUGUUCGGAUUCAUUGGGCGUAAAGGGUGCGUAGGCGGUGCCAUAAGUCAGAUGUGAAAUCUUCGGGCUCAACCCGGAAACUGCAUCCGAUACUGUGGUGCUCGAGGACUGGAGAGGAGACUGGAAUUCACGGUGUAGCAGUGAAAUGCGUAGAUAUCGUGAGGAAGGCCAGUGGCGAAGGCGGGUCUCUGGACAGUUCCUGACGCUGAGGCACGAAGGCCAGGGGAGCGAACGGGAUUAGAAACCCCUGUAGUCC
This 292-nucleotide ribosomal RNA is filed under the name uncultured prokaryote. Its description in RNAcentral is "partial 16S ribosomal RNA". It matches the Rfam family "Bacterial small subunit ribosomal RNA", at positions 505 to 796 of the family's 1533-position model. The record is from RNAcentral.